This 355-nucleotide ribosomal RNA is filed under the name Escherichia coli. RNAcentral's name for it is "bacterial SSU rRNA". It matches the Rfam family "Bacterial small subunit ribosomal RNA", at positions 1172 to 1526 of the family's 1533-position model. The record is from RNAcentral. Lineage: Bacteria; Pseudomonadati; Pseudomonadota; Gammaproteobacteria; Enterobacterales; Enterobacteriaceae.
GGUGGGGAUGACGUCAAGUCAUCAUGGCCCUUACGACCAGGGCUACACACGUGCUACAAUGGCGCAUACAAAGAGAAGCGACCUCGCGAGAGCAAGCGGACCUCAUAAAGUGCGUCGUAGUCCGGAUUGGAGUCUGCAACUCGACUCCAUGAAGUCGGAAUCGCUAGUAAUCGUGGAUCAGAAUGCCACGGUGAAUACGUUCCCGGGCCUUGUACACACCGCCCGUCACACCAUGGGAGUGGGUUGCAAAAGAAGUAGGUAGCUUAACCUUCGGGAGGGCGCUUACCACUUUGUGAUUCAUGACUGGGGUGAAGUCGUAACAAGGUAACCGUAGGGGAACCUGCGGUUGGAUCAC